GAACCUGAAACCGUGUACGUACAAGCAGUAGGAGCACCUUCGUGGUGUGACUGCGUACCUUUUGUAUAAUGGGUCAGCGACUUAUAUUCAGUGGCAAGGUUAACCGUAUAGGGGAGCCGUAGCGAAAGCGAGUCUUAACUGGGCGCUCAGUCUCUGGAUAUAGACCCGAAACCGGGUGAUCUAGCCAUGGGCAGGUUGAAGGUUGAGUAACAUCAACUGGAGGACCGAACCGACUAAUGUUGAAAAAUUAGCGGAUGACUUGUGGCUAGGGGUGAAAGGCCAAUCAAACUCGGAGAUAGCUGGUUCUCCCCGAAAGCUAUUUAGGUAGCGCCUCGGACGAAUACUACUGGGGGUAGAGCACUGUUAAGGCUAGGGGGUCAUCCCGACUUACCAACCCUUUGCAAACUCCGAAUACCAGUAAGUACUAUCCGGGAGACACACGGCGGGUGCUAACGUCCGUCGUGGAGAGGGAAACAACCCAGACCGCCAGCUAAGGUCCCAAAGUAUUGCUAAGUGGGAAACGAUGUGGGAAGGCUCAGACAGCUAGGAUGUUGGCUUAGAAGCAGCCAUCAUUUAAAGAAAGCGUAAUAGCUCACUAGUCGAGUCGGCCUGCGCGGAAGAUGUAACGGGGCUAAGCAAUACACCGAAGCUGCGGCAAUGUCUUUUAGA
Molecule: ribosomal RNA, 669 nt
Filed under: Vibrio cholerae
Lineage: Bacteria; Pseudomonadati; Pseudomonadota; Gammaproteobacteria; Vibrionales; Vibrionaceae
Description: partial 23S ribosomal RNA
Rfam family: Bacterial large subunit ribosomal RNA
Source: RNAcentral